This 200-nucleotide ribosomal RNA is filed under the name uncultured Bacillus sp. RNAcentral describes it as "partial 16S ribosomal RNA". It matches the Rfam family "Bacterial small subunit ribosomal RNA", at positions 335 to 526 of the family's 1533-position model. Lineage: Bacteria; Bacillati; Bacillota; Bacilli; Caryophanales; Bacillaceae. The record is from RNAcentral.
ACUCCUACGGGAGGCAGCAGUAGGGAAUCUUCCGCAAUGGACGAAAGUCUGACGGAGCAACGCCGCGUGAGUGAAGAAGGCCUUCGGGUCGUAAAACUCUGUUGCCGGGGAAGAAAAAGUGCCGUUCGAACAGGGCGGCGCCUUGACGGUACCCGGCCAGAAAGCCACGGCUAACUACGUGCCAGCAGCCGCGGUAAUAC